This 256-nucleotide small nuclear RNA is filed under the name Erinaceus europaeus (western European hedgehog). Its description in RNAcentral is "7SK RNA". It matches the Rfam family "7SK RNA". Rfam says of the family: 7SK was discovered as an abundant small nuclear RNA in the mid-70s but a possible function has only recently been suggested. Two independent studies have found that 7SK RNA binds the CDK9/cyclin T complex (known as elongation factor P-TEFb). P-TEFb activates transcription by phosphorylating the C-terminal domain of RNA polymerase II. Lineage: Eukaryota; Metazoa; Chordata; Mammalia; Eulipotyphla; Erinaceidae. The record is from Rfam by way of RNAcentral.
GUAAGAAGGGUGUGAUUUGCCUAUGACAUCUGUCUCCCCAUUGGUUGCCAGGGUUGAGUCAGCUGAUCUGGCUGACGAGAUGGGUGUCCCCCUCCCCCUUCAGCUCCCUGUGUGUCUCCCUCAAAACUGUGCUCUCAAAGAGGGCAGGACAAGGGUAUAGGCGCAGCUUCGCUCAUCUGCUGGAACAUCUAAAGAGAUUCUCAAGGUCAAACUCUAUACAGAAAUCCGCUGUACACCCACCACUGAUCUAAUUGGU